UACGGAGGGUGCGAGCGUUGUCCGGAAUCACUGGGCGUAAAGGGUGCGCAGGCGGCCAAGUGUGUUAGGCGUGAAAGCCCGGGGCUUAACCCCGGAAUUGCACCUAAAACUACAUGGCUAGAGCAUUGGAGAGGGUAGCGGAAUUCACGGUGUAGCAGUGAAAUGCGUAGAUAUCGUGAGGAACACCAGAGGCGAAGGCGGCUACCUGGACAAUUGCUGACGCUCAGGCACGAAAGCGUGGGGAGCAAAAGGG
This 253-nucleotide ribosomal RNA is filed under the name uncultured bacterium. RNAcentral describes it as "partial 16S ribosomal RNA". It matches the Rfam family "Bacterial small subunit ribosomal RNA", at positions 524 to 776 of the family's 1533-position model. The record is from RNAcentral.